GACGAACGCUGGCGGCGUGCCUAACACAUGCAAGUCGAACGAGGAACCUCGUCGGAGGGGCUCAUGGGCGAACGGGUGGGGAGCACGUGGGCAACUCGACCCCGUCUCUGUGAGAACUCCAAAAUAUUGGGGCAAAUACCCUAUUUUCACCGCUUCUCUCGUGGGUGGUGGUGGAAAGGUUUUCCGGGGUGGGAUGGGCCCGCGUCCUAUCGGCUUGUUCGGGGGGUAGGGGCCUUCCAAGGCAACGAGGGGUAGCCGGCCUGGGAGGGUGGCCGGCCACGAUGCGACUGAGACACGACCCAGACUCCAACCGGACGCAACGGUGGAGAGUAUUACGCAAUGGGGGGGAGCCUGACGUGACGGCGCCGCGUGGGGGAUGACGUGCUUCGGGUUGUGAACAAAUGUCAGCAGGGAUGAGGAGAUAGUGACGGUACCUGCAGAAGAAGCCCCGGCUAACUACGUG
Molecule: ribosomal RNA, 463 nt
Filed under: uncultured bacterium
Lineage: Bacteria
Description: partial 16S ribosomal RNA
Rfam family: Bacterial small subunit ribosomal RNA
Source: RNAcentral